This is a non-coding RNA of Podarcis lilfordi (Lilford's wall lizard), 66 nucleotides long. NCBI's taxonomy places the organism in Eukaryota, Metazoa, Chordata, Lepidosauria, Squamata, Lacertidae. The record is from the annotation of a GenBank genome assembly.
GUAGUUCGGUGGUAGAGCAUCUGUCUUAUGCGCAGAAGGUCUCGGGUUCAAUCCCCAACAUCUCCA